CGGACGGGUGAGUAACGCGUGGAAAACCUGCCGUAUACUGGGGGAUAACACUUAGAAAUAGGUGCUAAUACCGCAUAAGCGCACAGCUUCGCAUGAAGUGGUGUGAAAAACUCUGGUGGUAUACGAUGGUUCCGCGUCUGAUUAGCUUGUUGGUGGGGUAAUGGCUCACCAAGGCGACGAUCAGUAGCCGGCCUGAGAGAGUGAACGGCCACAUUGGGACUGAGACACGGCCCAAACUCCUACGGGAGGCAGCAG
RNAcentral lists this ribosomal RNA (255 nucleotides) under uncultured bacterium. RNAcentral's name for it is "partial 16S ribosomal RNA". It matches the Rfam family "Bacterial small subunit ribosomal RNA", at positions 99 to 354 of the family's 1533-position model. The record is from RNAcentral.